UCCCUCCAGAUGCCUUCCCCAUCCCGUCUAAGCAUUGGUCUGAGAAGCAACAUAAGGAAGAAAAGAAAAACUGAAGUGGAUUUGGAUUCUUUGAGACAUACAAGUUCAUUUUCUCAAUGA
RNAcentral lists this small nucleolar RNA (120 nucleotides) under Echinops telfairi (small Madagascar hedgehog). RNAcentral's name for it is "Small nucleolar RNA SNORA61 (ENSETEG00000026314.1)". The record is from RNAcentral. Lineage: Eukaryota; Metazoa; Chordata; Mammalia; Afrosoricida; Tenrecidae.